ACGGGAGGCAGCAGUGGGGAAUAUUGGGCAAUGGGCGAAAGCCUGACCCAGCAACGCCGCGUGAAGGAAGAAGGUUUUCGGAUUGUAAACUUCUUUUAUCAGGGACGAAGAAAGUGACGGUACCUGAUGAAUAAGCCACGGCUAACUACGUGCCAGCAGCCGCGGUAAUACGUAGGUGGCAAGCGUUGUCCGGAUUUACUGGGUGUAAAGGGAGCGCAGGCGGGAGAUCAAGUCAGUGGUGAAAUGCAUGGGCUUAACCCAUGAACUGCCAUUGAAACUGACCUUCUUGAGUGAAGUAGAGGCAAGCGGAAUUCCGAGUGUAGCGGUGAAAUGCGUAGAUAUUCGGAGGAACACCAGUGGCGAAGGCGGCUUGCUGGGCUUUUACUGACGCUGAGGCUCGAAAGUGUGGGGAGCAAACAGGAUUAGAUACCCUGGUA
This 437-nucleotide ribosomal RNA is filed under the name uncultured Clostridium sp. RNAcentral describes it as "partial 16S ribosomal RNA". It matches the Rfam family "Bacterial small subunit ribosomal RNA", at positions 341 to 792 of the family's 1533-position model. The record is from RNAcentral. Lineage: Bacteria; Bacillati; Bacillota; Clostridia; Eubacteriales; Clostridiaceae.